This is a long non-coding RNA of Momordica charantia (bitter melon), 499 nucleotides long. RefSeq lists it as uncharacterized. The record is from RefSeq and is a predicted model, not a curated record. Lineage: Eukaryota; Viridiplantae; Streptophyta; Magnoliopsida; Cucurbitales; Cucurbitaceae.
UAUUUGUCAUUAAAAAUAAAAAAAAGAGAAUCAAUCUUUUUACUUGUAUUGUUGCCUAAGCUCCGCUUUCAUUUUUAUGACUUCAUUUGUGUGUGUUUUUUUGCCUUGGCAGUGAAGGUUACAAAAUUCCACUCCCUACUGCAAACAUGUGAAACAUGCUGCUGCCAUUGGAACCAAGCAGAAAGAUUAAAGAAAAGGAAAAAGAAGAAGAAAGAAGCAGAAAUUGCCCAUCCUCAUACUAUUCAAAGCUAUAAAGCAAAAAUGUCGAAUGGAACUGGGAUGUCCCAAAAAAUGGCAAGUAGCUUUAGUAAAGCUAAGAUCAAAGCAUAUCUUGUGAAGCACACCAAAAAAAGAAAGAAAGAAAAAAGAAGAGCUGGACUUGCCGGUUGAAGCAUAUGUUCCUGGUUAUUUGAUAAAGCAAUGGCUCCAAGUGAACCAAAUGCUAUAUAGGCUGUUCAUAUCAAUUUUCAACUUUUCAAAUUACACCAAUUUUGUCCCU